GUAGGUGGCAAGCGUUGUCCGGAAUUAUUGGGCGUAAAGCGCGCGCAGGCGGUUCUUUAAGUCUGAUGUGAAAGCCCACGGCUCAACCGUGGAGGGUCAUUGGAAACUGGAGAACUUGAGUACAGAAGAGGAAAGCGGAAUUCCACGUGUAGCGGUGAAAUGCGUAGAGAUGUGGAGGAACACCAGUGGCGAAGGCGGCUUUCUGGUCUGUAACUGACGCUGAGGCGCGAAAGCGUGGGGAGCAAACAGGAUUAGAUACCCUGGUAGUCCACGCCGUAAACGAUGAGUGCUAAGUGUUAGGGGGGUUUCCGCCCCCCUUAGUGCUGCAGCUAACGCAUUAAGCACUCCGCCUGGGAGUACGGCUGCAAGGCUG
This 373-nucleotide ribosomal RNA is filed under the name uncultured organism. Its description in RNAcentral is "partial 16S ribosomal RNA". It matches the Rfam family "Bacterial small subunit ribosomal RNA", at positions 527 to 896 of the family's 1533-position model. The record is from RNAcentral.